CCGCGGUAAUACGGAGGGUGCGAGCGUUAAUCGGAAUUACUGGGCGUAAAGCGCGCGUAGGCGGUUUGUUAAGUCGGAUGUGAAAUCCCCGGGCUCAACCUGGGAAUGGCAUUCGAUACUGGCCGACUAGAGUACGAGAGAGGGAGGUAGAAUUCCACGUGUAGCGGUGAAAUGCGUAGAUAUGUGGAGGAAUACCGGUGGCGAAGGCGGCCUCCUGGCUCGAUACUGACGCUGAGGUGCGAAAGCGUGG
This 250-nucleotide ribosomal RNA is filed under the name uncultured bacterium. RNAcentral describes it as "partial 16S ribosomal RNA". It matches the Rfam family "Bacterial small subunit ribosomal RNA", at positions 515 to 764 of the family's 1533-position model. The record is from RNAcentral.